UAAUACAUGCAAGUCGAACGAACUCUGGUAUUGAUUGGUGCUUGCAUCAUGAUUUACAUUUGAGUGAGUGGCGAACUGGUGAGUAACACGUGGGAAACCUGCCCAGAAGCGGGGGAUAACACCUGGAAACAGAUGCUAAUACCGCAUAACAACUUGGACCGCAUGGUCCGAGUUUGAAAGAUGGCUUCGGCUAUCACUUUUGGAUGGUCCCGCGGCGUAUUAGCUAGAUGGUGGGGUAACGGCUCACCAUGGCAAUGAUACGUAGCCGACCUGAGAGGGUAAUCGGCCACAUUGGGACUGAGACACGGCCCAAACUCCUACGGGAGGCAGCAGUAGGGAAUCUUCCACAAUGGACGAAAGUCUGAUGGAGCAACGCCGCGUGAGUGAAGAAGGGUUUCGGCUCGUAAAACUCUGUUGUUAAAGAAGAACAUAUCUGAGAGUAACUGUUCAGGUAUUGACGGUAUUUAACCAGAAAGCCACGGCUAACUACGUGCCAGCAGCCGCGGUAAUACGUAGGUGGCAAGCGUUGUCCGGAUUUAUUGGGCGUAAAGCGAGCGCAGGCGGUUUUUUAAGUCUGAUGUGAAAGCCUUCGGCUCAACCGAAGAAGUGCAUCGGAAACUGGGAAACUUGAGUGCAGAAGAGGACAGUGGAACUCCAUGUGUAGCGGUGAAAUGCGUAGAUAUAUGGAAGAACACCAGUGGCGAAGGCGGCUGUCUGGUCUGUAACUGACGCUGAGGCUCGAAAGUAUGGGUAGCAAACAGGAUUAGAUACCCUGGUAGUCCAUACCGUAAACGAUGAAUGCUAAGUGUUGGAGGGUUUCCGCCCUUCAGUGCUGCAGCUAACGCAUUAAGCAUUCCGCCUGGGGAGUACGGCCGCAAGGCUGAAACUC
RNAcentral lists this ribosomal RNA (889 nucleotides) under Lactiplantibacillus plantarum. RNAcentral's name for it is "bacterial SSU rRNA". It matches the Rfam family "Bacterial small subunit ribosomal RNA", at positions 49 to 902 of the family's 1533-position model. The record is from RNAcentral. Lineage: Bacteria; Bacillati; Bacillota; Bacilli; Lactobacillales; Lactobacillaceae.